UGCCUCUGAGAAUAAGGAUGUUGUUUCAGUCUCUUCUGCUAAGGCUUGCCACAAGGGUAAAAAUACUGAGUGUGAUGGACUGUUUGUGUUCCACAGAGGAUGAGUAAACUUUCUCAGGUGUUUCAUAUGGGCCACUGACAUGUUUUGAAAUGAAACUGAAAUACUGAAUUAAAAGAGAUUCUACUUAAAGAGAAAUAGCAGCUUUGGAUGCAGAAUACAACUGUAGAUCAAGUCAGCAUAGACCUUAAAAGGGAGAACUUGUGUUGUUUAAGUUUGAAAGCAUCUAUUUCCUGACCAGCUGCCAUUGUUUCACACCAGCCUUGGGAAGACUUGCUAAUUGUCUGUGCAAAUUAAGAAGCCUUGGUCCAGAUGGAAUCAGAUCUCUAAUAUCUGGCUUUUGAACUAUCAUGUGGACUACCAUCAGGUGUGGGCUUGCAGAAAAAUGUAUCAGGGAUAUAGCUCAGAGUGAAGUUUGUAUCUGCUAUUUAGGCAUCAAUCGUUAUCCCUGGUGACUGCUUCAUACCACAACUGUAGAAAUGGGUGUCCUAUUUCAUUUGUGUACUUAUUUUUCUAUUCUGCUGGGUAUAUUUUGUAGUUUCAAUAGUAGGGAAUGCUAAAUUGUUAGUCUUGCUUUUUCUCUCUCCGUAGUUUUAUAAAAUACAAACACCUAAUUUCUCUCUCUUGUAAAUCUGAAUGGUAGAUCUGUGGCAAUAGUGUCAAAAAUGAACAGCUUUGGUUCAUGAAUUGAAAUGGAAGACUUGUAAAACUGCUUGUAAUAGUCUCUUCUGGUCUCCAUCCCCUUGCCAAACCUCUGAAAAUUCCUUUAAUAAUUAUCUGAUAUUUUCAAUUAUUUGAGGAAAAAGAAGAAAAAAAAUUCCUUGGGGAUCCAGUGUCCCUUUCUCAAGCAAUGCAGAGCAGAGUUAUGGGAUGCCAUAACAAACCUAUUUAUAUAAAGGUCCUUAAUAGCCACCAGUAACACAUUUAAUGAUCUGAAACAGUCAUUGUUAGUGAUGGUUCUUGUAAGCCUUACGGGAUCAUUUCUGCUGUUCACAUUUAAGUGUUAGAUGAAGCUGCCAGACCAGAUGGGAUUCUGAAGAGAGCACAGAACAGACUCCUCCAGAAAACAGAAAGUGGUGGGACUAAUUCCUGCUUUCCUGAUAAUAAAAGAUGCCAUGGGAAAUUAUCCUUAUAAUUUGAGUGUUAAAAUUAGAUAUCUAAAGUCAGAGGAACAUUACCAAUUUGGUUUUCAUAUCCUUGUUUUUUUCAUUUCCCCAUCAUUGUGUGCUUAAUUCAUAGUGUGUCAAAUUUGUAGAUGUGUAUAGUGGCUUCUUAAUUCAAGCAUAACUGGAAGCUUUUAGUGGGUAUUUUUGGACCAUCUGGAACAUGAACCUUAAUCUUCCUAAGUUGUAUUUUGAAAGGGCUGAUGGACUUAUUUGCCAGAGUUUAAUUUGACAGAAGAGUGGUUUUAUUUGUUCUAUCAAUUAAAACAUAGUCUAUUUGUUAUCAGUCAAUAAUAUCAUUUAUGAUAAGUACUGUAACUGUUAAAUGCAUUAUGUUGCCCAUACGGUGGCUGUCCUGUUGUUGUCUCUCUCUUCAAAUAUACUUUUUUUUAAAUUGGACAACCUAUUGCUUUUGCUUAAAGCAUGGUAAUCAGAAAUAUAACACUGAAAUAUAACCAGGAACUCAGCCCAAAGAACUCUGAUGAGUGUGGAGGCAUAAUGCAACAGAACAGAAAGCAAAAUGGAAUCACUGUCAGAAUUACUAAAAACUUACUAUUUCAAAUUUAACUAAAGAGAAAGGGUUCUUACUGCUAUUUUAAAUCAAUAAAAACACUGUGACCAGUACAUGUUCACUAAUCCUGAAAAAUUCAUUUCCCGGCAGCAAAAUCCUACUUUGUAUAACUGUGUACCUCAAAAAAAAAAAAAAAAUUGGAAGAAAUAUAGGUACUGUUUAGAAUCUUUCAUGGUAGAGGGAAUAUUGUUUUUAAGGUAUGUUUAUAUUUUGUAGUUUGAAACUUUUCACAAACAUAUAGUAGAAUUUUAUUUUGGUGCCUACAGAAAUACUUUGAAGUGAGCUUCCAGCAUUGCAUAUAAGUAAAAAGUAGUGCUGGGAACAACAACACAGAUUUUUCUCUCAUUCUUCUGAGUUUUUCCUGAGCCUUAACAAUGACUAUGGAUGACAGUAGCUAUGAAGUCUCUGUAGGUGCUGCUUUUUUCCCUUUCUAUUGUGCUAUCAGUACCUGCUCUGUACUGACUAUUCCUAACUAUCAGGAUGUUCAGCCAAGAGUGACUGAGACUUCGCCACUGAAGAACAUGCCCACAGUACAGGCCUCACAAUUUCUCUCUGUGAAGCUGGUGCUGAUGAAGAUUUAUCAAAAGGGAGAAGGGUGCAAUUAGAGGACGCCUCUCCUCUUUGGAUGACUCUGGUUUGUAAUAUAUUUUAUGAGCUGUGCAGCACGCUUCAACUCUGUGUUCGGGAAAAUAUGUGAAUACCCAAAGGAAAAUAGAAUUUGCAGUGCUGAGCCUUGCAAAGGGACGUGGGCACCUUGGAGGCUCUCAGGAAUAUUUCAGCCUUUUAAUUUAACUCCUGUGUUUUCUGAAGGUGAUCAGUAUCAGGGAAAUUGCACUGGGCUUUGGUGUGCCAAGCACUGUGAUUUUUAGUCACAGUGUCUCACAGGAACUGUUAGCUGAGUUUACUCAAAAGUUCUAAAUAUUUGAAGGAGUAAGCUGCUGACAAGUUAAAAUGAAAUAGUAAUUGUGAUGUUACCUUGAUAGCAAUUUCUGUACUUUUUCUGCUCAAGAAAUUGUUCCAAAGCACUUUGAGAAAAGGAGUGCCAUGUCAAGUUAACAUUUGUUUCAGGCCAUGUGCCUGAUUCUUCAUCUGGAAUCCUAUUUUCAGGCAGUCUGUCUGGACUUUCCAAGUUAUUCAGGCAUGAGGUGCAAAGACUUGCAUGCACAGCUCCUGUAGAAGUGGAAAGCUGAUAGCCCUGUCUGAGGUCAGACAUGCUGGAAAUGGGCAAAGACCUCCAGAGAGCUCUGCCACUGUACCUUAUAUUUGGUCUGUGCUCUGCCUUGGUAGUCUUCCAGAGUCACAUACUGGAUUUUGCAUGUGCCAGGUCAUUUGCACCAUCUGCAGCAGAAGACUGUUGAGCAGAAGUAGGAUGGGCACUUGGAUAAUUGAUGUCAGUCUAUUUGGAACAGGAACCAUUACUGAGGCAGAAAACUCAGGAAAUUAAGAUUUUGGCAUUUAUGUCAAAGGAAAAGUCACAAGUGGUGCUGUGUCCUGAUCUUUAGCAACUCAUAUUUAAAUUUAUGUACAAGGUGUAGAGUUUGUAGGCAAUUCCUCUAGAAUGGUGAUGGUGUCUGUAUGGGCAUUGCAAGAGGACCUCCCAUCCUCAACAUAUAUGAAAUAAAGUA
Long non-coding RNA from Zonotrichia albicollis (white-throated sparrow), 3416 nucleotides. RefSeq lists it as uncharacterized. The record is from RefSeq and is a predicted model, not a curated record. NCBI's taxonomy places the organism in Eukaryota, Metazoa, Chordata, Aves, Passeriformes, Passerellidae.